RNAcentral lists this ribosomal RNA (416 nucleotides) under uncultured bacterium. RNAcentral's name for it is "bacterial SSU rRNA". It matches the Rfam family "Bacterial small subunit ribosomal RNA", at positions 355 to 767 of the family's 1533-position model. The record is from RNAcentral.
UGAGGAAUAUUGGUCAAUGGGCGCAAGCCUGAACCAGCCAUCCCGCGUGCAGGAAGACGGCGCUAUGCGUUGUAAACUGCUUUUCCAGGGAGAGAAACUUGCGCACGUGUUGCGCAAUUGACGGUACCCUGGGAAUAAGCAUCGGCUAACUCCGUGCCAGCAGCCGCGGUAAUACGGAGGAUGCGAGCGUUAUCCGGAUUCAUUGGGUUUAAAGGGUGCGUAGGCGGACUAUUAAGUCAGUGGUGAAAUCCUGCAGCUUAACUGCAGAACUGCCAUUGAUACUGAUAGCUUUGAGUUUGGUUAAGGUAGGCGGAAUGUGCAAUGUAGCGGUGAAAUGCUUAGAUAUUACACAGAACACCAAUUGCGUAGGCAGCUUACUGAGCCGACACUGACGCUGAGGCACGAGAGCGUGGGGA